Molecule: non-coding RNA, 68 nt
Organism: Phrynosoma platyrhinos (Desert horned lizard)
Lineage: Eukaryota; Metazoa; Chordata; Lepidosauria; Squamata; Phrynosomatidae
Source: the annotation of a GenBank genome assembly
GUGUGGUGUAGUGGUUUGAGCAUUGGACUAUGACUCUGGAGACCAGGGUUCAAAUCCCAGCUAAUCCA